AUUUGAGCUUCCUUGUUUAAAAAACAUGUGAGGAGUUCUAUUCUUAGCGACACUUGCCUGUUCCAAAGAUGUCAACAAUGGUCUAAUGACUUCCUGGGCAGGCCACACAUCCCAGGCCAAGACCAAUUACUGGAACAUACCCUCCAACAUUUCUCCGUUGAAAUAGGGACGUCCCAUUCCAUAAUGAUAAUUUUACUAUUUAUACCCCACACAUCCUACUGAGUUGCCCCAGCCACUCUGGGCAGCUUCUAACAUAUAUAAAAACAUAAUAAAACAUUUUAAAACUUCCCUAUACAGGGAGUGGUUAGAUAACUCCAUACCCUCCAACAUUUCUCCAAUGAAAAUAGGAACAUCCUACCAUACCAUCCAACAUUCCUCCAAUGAAAAUAGAGACAUCCUAAGCAAAAGUGGGACAUUCCAGGAUCAAAUCAGAAACUGGGAUGGCUCCUCUAAGUCAGGGACCUCCCUGGAAAAUAGGGAGACUUGGAGGAUCUGCUGGAAGGAGGAGCGGCAUUGUUUGGCUUGAGCGUGAUGCAGCUCAGGCAGGCAGCUUGCCAACAUCUGUAGCCUAAACAGAGCAGAGCAAGCAAGUUGCAAGCAGCGAACAGAGAAGGCAACAGAGGAGCAUUCUGCUCAUGGCUCCCGAAGCAAAACAAAACUGCAAGUAUGUCACAUUUCCAAAAGUUUUUGGGUCUCAUCUAUCUAUCUUGGGAGACAAUUGAAGAAUGUGCCUUCGGGGGUGAAGUCAAACCAUUGAAGAGUUACAGUGCCUGUUGUGGCUGUAGAGACUGAUAUGGGAGAGACAUGUUUUGUUUGCUUUCCAAAAGUAAUAAAAUAAAAUAAAAUAUUGGGAUAAAUUUGGCCAUUUAACAAAAAAUAUUGUCACAAGUAGAGAUUUGCUUCAGUAUGUCCAAU
Molecule: long non-coding RNA, 915 nt
Filed under: Podarcis lilfordi (Lilford's wall lizard)
Lineage: Eukaryota; Metazoa; Chordata; Lepidosauria; Squamata; Lacertidae
Source: RNAcentral